GCUUCGGCCAUCUUGGCAUCUUCAUCUUGGCGACCUUGCCUUGCCGUGGAUUGUUUUUAGUUGUUUGUAUUAUUUGUGCUUUUUAAGAAUAUUUUUUUAAUUCGGAUACUUUUAUAAUAGCUUUAAUAGUAUUAUUAACAUAGUGCAUAAAAUGGUGUCCUGUUUUUAACGCAGUUGGAGUAGCAGAAACAAAUGUAGAUAAAAAAAUCUGCAGGAAUAACGUUUCAAUUAUGACAGAAGCUCAAAACAAAUGACUGUGAAUGAAAAGCCCUAUUAAAAGCUUUCCAGAAGAUCCUGCGAAGAAGACAUGAAGUAUAGAUCAGAUUUGUUAAUAGAGGAGUAUGUUCAAAACACUUUUUAGAAAAAGAUAUUGACAGAACUUCACUUUCAUCUGUUCGUUUGAGAGACUGUGCUGUUCCAAUAGCUUAUGUCACACAGAAUCAGCUGAGAGAAGUGGUCUACAAAAAACCAGAAAGGAAACGGAAUAUGUGGUUACGAAAAGCAAAAGAAAGGUUUACAAAGCAAAUGUAACACAUUUUUUUAUAAUAUUUAGGAAUGUCAGCAAAUUACAUUAAAAAAUGUAUGUAAAGAUUUUUUGCAAUAAAAAUGUUUAUAUUUA
Diabrotica virgifera virgifera (western corn rootworm) is the source of this 619-nucleotide long non-coding RNA. RefSeq lists it as uncharacterized. NCBI's taxonomy places the organism in Eukaryota, Metazoa, Arthropoda, Insecta, Coleoptera, Chrysomelidae. The transcript has 3 exons. The record is from RefSeq and is a predicted model, not a curated record.